UACGGAGGGGGCGAGCGUUAUUCGGAAUUAUUGGGCGUAAAGGGCGCGUAGGCGGCUUGACAAGUCAAAGGUGAAAUCCCUCGGCUCAACUGAGGAACUGCCUUUGAAACUGUCUGGCUUGAGGCCGGGAGGGGGUAGCGGAAUUCCCAGUGUAGCGGUGAAAUGCGUAGAUAUCCGGAGGAACACCAGUGGCGAGGGCGACUUUCUGGCCUGUUUCUUGACGCUGAGGCGCGAAAGCUAGGGGAGCAAACGGG
This 254-nucleotide ribosomal RNA is filed under the name uncultured bacterium. RNAcentral describes it as "partial 16S ribosomal RNA". It matches the Rfam family "Bacterial small subunit ribosomal RNA", at positions 524 to 776 of the family's 1533-position model. The record is from RNAcentral.